CCUACGGGAGGCAGCAGUGGGGAAUUUUGGACAAUGGGCGCAAGCCUGAUCCAGCAAUGCCGCGUGAGUGAAGAAGGCCUUCGGGUUGUAAAGCUCUUUUGUCAGGGAAGAAACGGUGGAGGUUAAUACCUUCUGCUAAUGACGGUACCUGAAGAAUAAGCACCGGCUAACUACGUGCCAGCAGCCGCGGUAAUACGUAGGGUGCAAGCGUUAAUCGGAAUUACUGGGCGUAAAGCGUGCGCAGGCGGUUGUGCAAGACAGAUGUGAAAUCCCCGGGCUCAACCUGGGAAUUGCAUUUGUGACUGCACGGCUAGAGUGUGUCAGAGGGGGGUAGAAUUCCACGUGUAGCAGUGAAAUGCGUAGAGAUGUGGAGGAAUACCGAUGGCGAAGGCAGCCCCCUGGGAUAACACUGACGCUCAUGCACGAAAGCGUGGGAGCAAACAGGUAUUAGAUACCCGUGGUAGUCCACGCCCUAAACGAUGUACACGUGGUUGGUUGGGUAGGUUUCUCUANAGUACGUAGCGUACGNGU
This 531-nucleotide ribosomal RNA is filed under the name uncultured bacterium. Its description in RNAcentral is "bacterial SSU rRNA". It matches the Rfam family "Bacterial small subunit ribosomal RNA", at positions 338 to 860 of the family's 1533-position model. The record is from RNAcentral.